Molecule: long non-coding RNA, 29105 nt
Filed under: Mytilus galloprovincialis (Mediterranean mussel)
Lineage: Eukaryota; Metazoa; Mollusca; Bivalvia; Mytilida; Mytilidae
Source: RNAcentral
CUUUGGUAUAGAGGAAUCUACCAGCUGUAAUGACAAUGCUAGAGGCAUGUCAUUAACAAACAGGUAAGGUUUUAUAUAAUUAAAAUCUAAUGAAUGGCUGUAUAAUGUUGGAACGGCGGGAAUUUUUUUAAGUUAUUUUCAAAAUAUACCGGUUAAAAAUAAAACUCAAAAGACUCCCUACAGGGAUACAAAUUUAUAUACGAGCACUGCUAUUGUUUCCUAUUCCAAUAAUAGUAUAUUAAUCGUGUUGCUAUAUAUAACGAAUCCUUAGAUAAAAUACAAAAACAAAAUCAAUAAAAACAUGAUUUAUGAUAAAGACGUACAACAAACUAAAAUCAUACAUGAUUUAAACCAAACAUUUUAGAGAACGGAAAAUCCAUUUGCAAUAUCCUUCGAGUUGUUAUAUUUUUCAAAUUGGAUUAUCUCCGUUUUACCAGAAAAAAAGUAAUAUGUUCUGUAGCCCAUAUUCAAUGUGAAAGUCUGGAGUCGCACAAUAAAUUGAACGUUUAUUAUACGCCUGGAUUGUUAGUCCUAAGAUAAUUUCUAAUCUAAUAAGGAUAAUACAAAAUGGCAUCCAUAGAAAUCCGGACGAGAUUGUUUUAAGUUUUAUCAUCAAUUUCAUUCCUUCUUAACUAGAAAUUUUCAACCUGUUUAGGACCUUCAAUUUCUUUAACGUGUAAAACAUAUUUUAGUGAAAAAGAUUAGGCGCCGUCGAGAAACAUUGUGGCAAUAUUUAUUUUUAAUCACGUUGUGUCAGUGAAUUUACUGUUUGGGAUAUACAUCUAACUCUCAGUAAGAAAUAUUAAAUUGAUAUAUACAUCCCCGUUUUGGUACAUGUUUCGAAUACUGUGUUGUUGUUUUGGCUUAUAUAUUCAAUAGUUUAAAGUAUUCUGAUACAAUCUCAUUUUAAUAAAACAACGUAUUAAUAGAAGCAGAACUGGCUAAUUUACUUAUAACUUGAAUUGGUGACACAUGCGCAGUACUGUGAUUGAUAUGUGUAACCGUUUAAAUUUGAUAUUUCAAGACAAAUAUGACAAAUACAAUAUCCAUAUCAUCUGAGACCACUAUAGUAGUGUGGGGUAUUAUAUUCAUGUAUCAAAACGCAUGAAGUGUGAAACCUAUGUCAACUUGUUGAAUAAAAAUUCAAAAAAUACCUUUUCGAGGAUUUUUCUAAUAUUUGAUUAAAAUAUAAAACUGCCAAAAAAUCAUCAAGUGGUAAUAAAACAAACAGCGAGAGCGUUCAAAAUACAAAUAAAGUGUUGAACUGCAAAGCGUUCCCUUCAAUAAACUAAACAUUAGGCUUGUAACAUAUCACAUGCAUGCCCCCGAUCAGAAUGUUGUUUCUAGAAUACAUGUUUCAGUAGAGAGCAUUGAACUCAACCUACAAAUUGCCUGUAUAAAAAGUACAUGUUUCGUAUAAUGACGAUAUCAGUACGAAUAAAAGGAAACUUGGGGGAUACGAAAACACGACACAAAUAAUCGAAAGACAUCGGACGCUAGUCAACAAACAGACAGCUAGGUGCACGUGUUUAUAAAAAAAAUAUCGAGUUCUAAAUCAUCAAAAGUAUAAAACUAUGCAGAAUAUUUAAAAAAAAAAAUUUCAAAGUAAAUAAUAUCAAAGUAAUGGAAAUAUAUAAAAAAAAAAUCCGCAAUCAAGGAAAAAAGGUUAAAAAACUAAUAACCUUAUUACAUAUUAGUGCACGUGCAGGUCAGUAAAUGUUACAUAACACUAGGUUUAUUCAUACAAUGUCUGCAUCAGGAAAUGCAUGUACCAUGUCAAGAAUUUGACAUUUGUUUUUUUUAUUCGUGUGAUGUGUUUGAGCUUUUGAUUUUGCCAGUUGAAAAAUGACUUUUCGUUUUGAAUAUGCCUUAGAGUUUGGUAUUUUUGUUACUUAACUUUUUUAUGUCCUUUCUUGGAAGUCUUGUUGUUUAUUUCUUUAUCAAAUAUACCCAAGAGUGUUCAUUAGCAGCAUGAGUUAGAAUUUCAAACUUUGGAAUUUCAACCAAAGAUGAAGAACUGAAUCUUCCAUCACUGUAUUGGAUACCUAAACUACAUAAGUGUCCUUACAAACAAUAAUUGCUGGGUCUUCCGAAGUGCUCCACGAAACUCUUUCUAAAUUAUUAACAUUUUAUCAGCAAUCAAAGACGGGUUCAAAGUUAUUGUCGAAACUGCUAUUCUAAGGUGGCGUGAUCAGAUGUGAUACUUAAAAAUUCAAAGAUCUUUUAGAGUACAUUACAAUCUUAACUCUCUUUCAUCUUGUAACAAUUAAAACAUUUGACUUUUCUACUCUUUACCAAGUAUUACCACAUUCCAAACUAAAAGACAAAUUGAAGAGUGGUAUUAUACUUUGCUUCAUAAAAAAAGAAUGGCCAAACGUAGAUACAGUAUCUUCUUAGGGAGGGAUAAAUCCUACUUGAAAGAACUCACUGAUUAUACAAAAAAAUCUCUGAAACUGAUAUUAUCAAGAUGCUUGAUUUCUUAUUGACAACAUAUUUGUUACGUUCGGAGGAUGUUUUUUACAGACUGUCGGCAUCCCAAUGGGAACAAACUGUGCCCCUCUACUUUUGUUCUUAUUAUUCAUGGGCUGAUUCAUGCAGGACUUUAGGAAGAAAGAUAAGAAAGUUAGCAAUAUCCUUUAAACUCUACUUUCCGCUAUAUAGAUGAUGUUCUUUCACUAAACAAAAGCAUCUAUCCCAUCGAACUAGAGAUAAAGGAUACUACAGAUACAGUAAGUCUUAUAUCUUGACAUCUAGAAAUUGACAUUAGGGUCGGUUUGAAAAAAAAACUGUACGACAAAAGAGUGAUUUCAGCUUUCCAAAUUGUGAACCUUCCAUUUUAAGUAGCAACAUUCCAGCAGCACCUGCAUACGGGGUAUAUAAUCUCCCCAAUUGAUACGAUAUUCCCGUGCUUGCAUUUCCUAUCAUGAUUUUCUUAGAUAGGGUUGCUGCUCACAAGGAAGCUAUUAAACCAAGAGUUCCAAAUGGUGAAGUUGAAAUCAUCCCUCUCGUAAAUUUUCCGGACGCCAUCACGAGUUGUUACCGUUAUGGAUAACCGUUUCACAAAUAUAUCGGAUAUGUUCCUAACGUCGUAACUACAAUUCCCUUCCCUUUCAUGAAUGUGACCUACCGAAUUAGACUAUUUACCGGAUUAAAUAUUGUAAUCACAUAAGCAACACGACGGGUGCCACAUGUGGAGCAGGAUCUGCUUACCCUUCCGGAGCACCUGAGAUCACCCCUAGUUUUGGUGGGGUUCGGUUGUUAUAUUCUUUAGUUUUCUAUUGUCAUGUUUACUAUUAAUUUUCUGUUUUUCUUUUUCAUUUUUAGCCAUGGCGUUGUCAGUUUGUUUUAGAUUUAUGAGUUUGACUGUCCCUUUGGUAUCUUUCGUCCCUCUUUUAGAGUGUUUAUAAGCAAUAUGCUGUAUUGGUCUUUCAAAAUACAACUUUCCAGUAGUAGAUUCAAUGCAUAACAAGAGCGGUUCUUGUUGUAUCUUCCAUCUCUUUUUUCAAUAAUUUUAAAAGGUACCAGGAUUAUAAUUUAAUACGUCAGACACGCGUUUCGUCUACAUUUUUGCAAUGUCCUAUUCGUGUGGUCAUCGUUUUAAUUGCAUUGAUCCAAUUAUAUACCAGAUAUCCCGAUGCCAAAUUCGCAUAAGGGUUUUAAUUCCUUUGUGCUGGCGGAUUGAGAUACACGGUGUGAUUUGAAUAGAAUUUUUUUUAAAAAUACCAUACGAUGAUCGAUGCAGUUGGUGGUAUGAUUUUGUAUCAAACUAAAUAGGAUAACGAAAAAAGUGAAGAAAAAAUGCUAGUUGUAAUAGAUACAAAAUAUAUAUUGAUGUCUAUCAAAUUUAUGUUUUCAUUCCUAAGCCAAUGUAUUUGUAUAACCGGUGGUUAUUCAUUUUAUGAAACAAAGUUAAUUCAUUUAUAUUUCUUUUAUUUAGAAUACAAGUGGCAGAAAAUGAAAGAACCAGUCCAGUAGUGAUAUCCAGCCGUAACAUUUAAAUUGUAUCAGUUCAGAUUGUAAAAAUUAACAAGUAAAACGAAUGUGAAAACAGUGUGUGGAAUCGACCAAAAUUGACAAUUUGAUCUUAUUUGCUCAUUGCAUCAUAUAGAUAUGAUUUAUAUGCAAUAUUUGUUUGGAUAAAAUAACUACUUUCUGUUUUGAACUUUAUGAAAAAUAUGAAUUUCAUUUUCUAGUUGAUAAAAUAGAUUACAAAAAAAAGAAGAUGCAUGAUUGCCUAUGAGACACCUAUUAAUUAACGAAAAAGUACGAAUACUGUUUACAAAUACUGAUUAUUACCGUAUUGUAUUAAAUCAAUAACAUGCCCAGCGAUGACAAUAUAUGAAACAAAUUUAAAGAAGUAACAAAAGUUCUGAUCUAUACACAAUACAAAGAACGAAAAAAAAUUAUUCAAGGCUGCAAUUAAAUUAACGGUACUAAUUUUCUUGCACCAGAUGCGCAUUUCGACAAUACAUGUCUCUUCAGUGAUGCUCGUGGCCUAAAUAUUUGAAAUCCAAAGCUUAUAUAAAAGAUGAAGAGCUAUAAUCCAAAAGGUUCAAAAAGUAUAGCCAAAUUCGUGAAAGGAAUCAGAGCUUUGCAUGAGGGAGAUACAUUCUGCAACAUGAUCUCACCUUUAAAAUAAGUUUACAUUAGGAAGUUUACUAUGCAUUCAUUUGAACGUACAUCAUGUUUUCCGUUGCUGCUAUGAUGCUUGAACAGUCUCUUACACCAGAUAAAAUGUAACGAGUAUGGUUAUGAUAAGUAAUUUAUAUGCUAAAAACAUAUUCAAAAAUAUUACUCAAGACACCAUCCCACUUAUAACUUGAUAACACUAUAAGCUGUAUAAACUAUUAAAGAACCUAUUAGUAAGUAAAAAAUUGAAAACAAACACGUCUAAUAAUUUCAUGAGUCCGACGCUCUUUUCUGGAUUAACCUUCAUCAGGAACGCUUAAAGCCAAACAUUUGAAAUACGAAGAUGUAUAAGUACCGAUUCCGUUGAUGAUCUAUACAUGCUAUAUGACAAAAAAUACACAAAAAAUAAUAAAUGGCCAAAAUCAUCUUCAGUCAACUUUGCCUAAGGGAAUUGAAACCUUAGUUUCUAAAAAAUUUAUAAAUUUAUGAACGGAUAAUUUUAUAAAAGUUUGCUAAAUUAUGCACUGACUACUGAGCUGAAGACACCCUUGGGGACUGAUAGUCCACCAGCAGAGGUCGACCUGAUGUGGCAUUUCCACUGAUACCAGUGAUAGAUGCAAUGAAUACGACCAUUUGACAUUUGCAUCUAAUUAUCUUUCAAGGGUUUGUACACAUAAAACAUGUAACAAUUAUUUAAAGAAAUUCCAUUGAAAGACAGGGAACGGCAUUGUUACUUUUAUCAGUUUUUAAUUAAUAUCAAACAUGUUAAAAACAGUGGAAGUGUUACUCUCCGGGCGAUACUACAUUUUUUCUGACCAAACAUCUUUUAUUAUAAAAGAGGAAGGUUUGUCAUGCCACAAAACCAGGUUCAACCCACUAUUUUUUCCUUUAAAAAUGUCUUUUACUAAAUCAGGAAUGUGGCCAUUGUUAUAUUAUAUUUCAUUUCUGCUUGUGUUACAUUUCAACUUUGUGUUUCCGUUGUGUCGUUUGUUUUCUCUUAUUUUUGAGUGUGAAUUCACAUUACUAUAAGACGUGUCACGGUACUUAUCUAUCCCAUUUUCAUGUAUUUUGUUUUGAUGUUAUAUUUGUUAUUCUCUUAGGAUUUAGUUUAAUGCUUAGUCCGUUUCUCUGUGUGUUACAUUUUAAUGAUGUGUCAUUGUUCUCCUCUUAUAUUUGAUGCGUUUCCCUCAGUUUUAGUUUUUUACCCCCAUUUUGUUUUUUGUCCAUGGAUUUAUGAGUUUUGAACAGCGAUAUACUACUGUUGCCUUUAUUUAUUGUAUUUUGAAAUUGAAAUUUCUUCAGAAUGAAAUAUAUAAAAGUGGCCAUAAGAAGAAAGUGUUUAAGAUGUGACGAAUUUACGGAAAAAGAUGGUGAUGUUAUUGCGACUACGUUGCUUUUAGGUUGCAUUUCUGUAAAUAUUGACAAUGAAAUUUCCAAUAGGAACUACUUUUACGGCCAAAACUGUACCGUUUUUACUAUGAAGUUUUGAAAAAAGUCUUAUCCUAGAAUUUAAAGUUCAUAUGCACUACACUUUUUUUCAAAGGUCAAGAUAUAGGGCUGUCCAGCAUAUUUUCAACGUUUAUAUACCCUGAACUUUUCAGAGUUUGAACUAACACUAAUUUUCUUAACUACUCCUACCUCGAAUGAAGGGCUACUACAGAUUUCAAUGUAAAAACAAUAUGUACAUGUAUAUUUACUGGUAACACUCCCAAGUAAAGUCUCUAUGAGAUGGAAUACAGAGAGCAUAACUGGGAACCAGUAUGUAAACAAAAUUAAUUUUCUAUGAAUAUUCUAAUUCUCCCCAGACGUAGUUUGAGAAACAGCUGUAUUUACAAAGUGCAACCUUUAAAAAAAACGUGAAGAUGAGCGGGUUUAAAAAAUGUAUAUACUAAUGUACCCGAAAAUGAAAAAUAUAUUCAAAUAUAUCUAUAGGUCUGUUUUUUGUUAAUUGAUAUAUAUGACAUGGCAUAUAUUUUUGAUAAGCAAAAUAUAUGAAAAGGGUGGGAUACUUGAUGUCUCAGCUGCUCACCCCUAGCAAAAAAUAAGUUUGUAGUGCCCCCUCCCCUCCCAAGUUUUAUAAGGACUUACAAUUUUGACAUGUUCGAACUAUUGAAAUUGUGGAAUGCGACAUAACUCGACCUAUAAACACGAUGAUAAUUGUACUUAUAGUAGGAAAUCGUUAAUUUCUUUAUUGAGUAGAGUUAGUCACGGACCACCAAAUAAUGUUUUAUUGAACGUGGCAUUGGUCGACGUACUAUCCGUUGACUGUCCUGGUCGGAGAUCAUAAGGCUGUUGACCACUGUUGAUUUUAAAACUUGUAGCAAAGAUAAGAUCGUUUGGAAAAUAAAAACGCUUCUGGUUUUCUUGAAAUCUUAAAUAAGUAUACAACGGAGCGCAUCAAUCCUUAAGUUUUAAUGAUAGAUAAUUGACAAGAAAGUCUAAGCUACAAAAUCUAUAGGUAUAUUUGUCUUAUACGGAAAGGUCCAAUUCUUCAAAUUUGUUGGUUAGUUUAAAAAAAAAACCAGGGACAUCAAACGGACUAUUUGUUGUCAAGGUUAUACGGCUACUGUUCCUUCAAUAUUUAGUAUUCUGAAUAAAUUAAAAACAAUUAUGCUACUACAUAUAGCUCAUGGAUGUCAUUUCUAUCGAUAAACCGAAUGACACCCAUGUAAAGCUACACGGUAUCGAUUGUCAAUAACCUAUCUCAAUACAUCGAUCUAUUGAAAACAACAUAAUUACUUAAUAACAUAAGUUAGAUAUUCUAAUCUCAAAUAAAAAAUCUGCACUGUUCGAGUACAAAAUGCAUGGAUAAUUGUAGUGCUUUGGAUCGACCUGUUACUUAUGUUUAAAGAAAAAUAAAUAGGUUAAGUAUAAUUAAAAUUGAUAAAAAGAAAGAUAACAUUGGCUGACUCUUAACAAAUGAUCACCGUCCGAGUCACUUUUCUUGAUUUGCCUCCACCAGGAACACUAGCCUCAAAGUAAGUGAAAGUCAGGGUGAUAUAAGAACCAAACAUUUGCCAAACCAGGAGUGCUUCACAUUAUGGUGAUGGUUGCAAAGACUGUAUAUUUGAUGUAUUUGGUUAACGUACAGUUCUCCAAAUGGAGACAUGUAGAUUGACAUAGUACAGGUCUUUUGUGAUGGUUUUAUCUAUCAAAAUGUCCAAGAUUACUGGAAAAUUCCUUCCUCAGUACAACUCAGUAAACAUUUAAACUAUUUUUACGUACAGUUAUCUUUUUACUCUAAAAAUAAAAUUAAUUUAAUGGCGUUGCUUUUUGAGCGAUGAGUCUGUAUGCAUGACUGGUUGACUAUGUAAAACCUUGAAAAUAUGUACGUUUUAGUCAAAUUUACCAUGGAACUCGUAAAUGAAGGUAUGAAGGAUAUUUUCAAUUUAUAUUUAAAGUCAAUUAAAUAACAUAUAAUUUUAUUUUUUUUCAUACUUAAAUGAUUUUAUUCAAUGUUUUUUUUGCAAAUGUUUACUUUGAAAUUUUGGCAUUUUUUUUUCUGCAGACAGAAGAUAAUUUAUUUAUGAAGAUAUGGUAUGUUGAAUAUGAUUUAUUGAUAGGUCUAUGAAUUGGUGUUAAACGAUAAAACAAUGUAAAACAAAACGAGAAAACUAACGGCCUUAUUUAUAUAAAAAAAGUGAUUGUCUUGUGACAUAUAUAUUCGGUAAUUAAUUUACCAGAAAAAAAGUACGGUGUUUGAACAGAUUCAGCAAAAGUCAAAUAGCUCAUCAAAAGCACACAUCCGCGAAAGUUUCAUUAUGUGAUGUUACAAUUGGAUGGCUGUGGAAUUGCGGUUACAACCAUUAGAACACAUUUGUGAACAUCUGUGAACAAAAUAUGCAAUACAGUCAAAAUACUCGUGAUAUGGCGUCUGUAACACUUGAAAGGUGUGAAUUAUAAAUUACCAUUUGAAACUAAGGUUUAAAAGCAACCUUGAAUCAAGAAGAUCAUUAUAGUCAAAAGAAGUACUCGAUGAUCAUAUAAACAAGGACGUAUAAAAAAGAAGAUGUGGUAUGAUUGCCAAUGAGACAACUGUCUACGAGAGACCAAAAUGACACACACAUUAACAAUUAAAGGUCACCGUACGGCCUUCAACAAUGAGCAAAGCCCAUACCGCAUAGUCAGUUUUAAAAGGCAACAAUAUGACAAUGUAAAACAAUUCAAACGAGAAAACUAACGGCCUAAUUUAAAUAAGAAAAUGAACGAAAAACAAAUAUGUAACACAUACACAAACGAAAACCACUGAACUAUAGGCUCCUGACUUGGAACAGGCAAUUAUAUAAAUAAUGUGGUGGGAUUGAAUAUGUAGGCGGUAUCCCAACCCUCUCCUAACCUGGGACAGUGGUAUAACAGUACAACAUAUUUCGAUCUAUAAAAAUCAGUUGAAAAAGGCAUAACUCGUCAGAUGGACAAAAAUACAAGUGGACGUUGCCUGGUACUUGUACAUCCCGACAACAAAAAAUACACUAGGAACAGAUCUAAGAGUAAUCGCAGUUAUUUGACAACUUGUUCAAAGCCACUAACAACUAAUGAAAAUAAAUCAUGCAUCUAAGACUAAACUAUCAAUCUGUACACAUCCAACAUCCAAUGAAUUCAGUGUAAAGACGUCAUAAACAGUCAGAGAUAUAACAUGACCUUGUGCAAUGCCAGUUACAGGUAUCGACAGAUUGUAGAUCCAUGAAUGUGUAUAUGUAUAUAACAUACUAGUAAUAUUUAGUUUGCUUUUUUUUUACUGAUAACAAAAUCAAUAUUUAUAUCAAUAAAAACCAUAGUCAAUAAUCUUAUUACAGUGUUGAAUUGGUAACCUUUUAGAAUAAGUUUAUUUAAAGGAGCGAUAAGUUUACAAGGAUCAUUUCUAAAUUUCGAAAAACAAUUAACAACGGUUAACAACAUUUCAUUAAACAUGUUAAAAAUGAGGAUGUGCUAUACCGUUUGAAAUAAGUUUUCUAUAGGCGCAACCAAACUUCAAAACCAAAUAUUUAUAUCUAUGGAAAAAUUUAGUAAAGGUUUUAAGUAAUUUAUGGUAACGAUAAACCUGGUUCAAUAAUUUACCCGUAAUACAUAGAUUGCGAUCGUUAAAAUCAAAAACGUCACAACAGCCACGGGCAUAACCAACGAGCUGUGAAAUAUAAACACCGUAAGCUGGUGCCAAAGGAACAUCACUAUCUAAAAAUGGAAAAUAAACAAUAGGGAACGACAAAUCGUCCCAUUUGUCGUAAAUUUUAGUGUAGAUUUUCCCGUUUAAAACCGAAGUAUACCUCAUACAUCAUAUAUCUCAUAUGCAGGUACUGCUCUGAUGUUGCUACAUAGAAAAGAAAAGUUCACUAUCAGGAAGCUGAAAUAAUCACUUCAGUUGUUAAAUUUGUUCUCAACCGUCUCUCAUUGUAAUUGUUUAUUUAUAAGUCAAGAUAUGAAAAAGACUUAACUGUAUUUGACGAACCUUAUUUAACGUUUCAUAUGUAGUAAAGAUUUUUAUUGUCACCAAACUUUACAUUAUUUAUUAAAAGGAUAUCAUUAAUAUAAAGUUGCAUGAAGUAAAAGGAUAAUGCUUGCCUUCUUGUAUUCUUCUUGAAAAGCACCUGUAUGAAAUCUGCUUCAUUCGAAUAAAAGAUCUUGUCGGCAAGAAGAUGAUUAGAGAAGUUGGUUCCGAUCGUUUGUUGAAAAACAAAAUAUUCAAUCAUCUUGAUCAUGUUUAUUUCAGAGAACAGUUUGUUUGAUUCCUAUAGUAAUUUUGUGUAAACUAAUCAUGAUGUAUACCUUCCUUUAAGAGUUUUAAUUCUUGUACAAAUGCUUCUUUUUAUUCAGAGACACGCUGACAUAAUUGCGAAUCUUGAAUAUGUCUUAAUCACUAUGAUCUUCUUUCACCAUUUUUUUUUUAUUAAACAAAAAAAAAAUUACUUCUUAUAAAUUAUAUAACUAUAUUUCUUAUGUUUAGUAUGCAAGUGGAGGCGAGUGAUCCCGAAGCAGGAGAAGAGAGCAACAGUGAUACGCAUAAGAAGCUGUGACAAGAAGUGGCAUCGAUCAAAACUGACAAUAUUGCUGGCAAUUGCAUAUGACGUAACUGUACUCUCAAAGAUUAUGUUAAUUAUAACAAUCAGUGUUAUCCCUCUUUAUUCACAAACUGGACUUUUGUGAUUUAUGCAUGCAUGUAAAUAUGUUAUAAUCAACUGAGAAACAUAAUCAGAGCAGCCGAGCGGGAACAUUUGUCUGGAAGUAUAAAUGAUCGUGUUAAAUUUUUUAAUGUAAUAAAGGGCAGUGUGAUUAGGAAAUAAAAAAAAUAUUUUAAGUUUGGAAAUUGAUUUUUUUUAUAUAGAUGUGAUUUUUAUGUAUAUUUCUAAAAUAAAAACGACGUUCUUAAUGAUAAAUGUUUUUGACAAUUCGGUCAUGAUAGACUAGUUGAGAAAAAAUAAACGAUUUGGGAUGACUCAUGAGACAACAUAAUCAAAAAGAGACCAAUUUUAAAAAUACACUACAUGUGUCACUUUAUCGCCUGUAAUAGUCAGCUGAAUACGUAAAAAGUGUAGAAGUCAGAACAGGCCCGUGAUGAACAAAAGUGCAACAAUUUUAAAAAACAAACCGAAAGCCUGAUUUUUACUCAAAAUAGAAAACAAUUAAGGACGCCUGAAACUAUGACUUCCUCUGUAUAAGUCACAUACUUGGUGGUUGUUACGGGGUCAGUAAACAAUAAAAUUGAGAGUGAAAUUGGGGAAUGUGUCAAAGAGACAACAACCCUACACAGAGCAGAAAACAGCCUAGGGCCACCAAUGGAACUUCAACACAGCGAGAAAACCCGCCCUGAAUUGCAUCUUAAUAACCUUGUACAGUGGUGUAACAGCACAUUAUAAUAUAAACCAUAAAAUCAAUUGGAAAGGUCUGGACUCAUUGAUAAUACUAAGUCUGUAAUCGAAUAAGUAAAAUGUCAAAAAAGGAUCGCAAUAAAGAACCCAUCGUAGUAACGGUCAUUGGAAUGUUAACCGAUCUUAACGCGGCCUUGAUCUGUGAAAGUGUAAAUUGAAGAUAAAUAUUAAAAUAAAAAGGUGAUUUGAUCAUAUGUGACAAAACAUCAGUGUCAAGAAAUCAGAGACAAUAAAUCUAUACAUAAUAUAAAGGAAAAACAAAAUACGUCAAGUUAAAUGACUGAAAGAAAGUGUAUUGUAGGACAUUAAGAAAAAGGACAACGAAACAGCAGGAAAAUGACAAUUUAACCGAAGCUACAUCUAGGUUGAUCGGGGUUGAGAUAAUAAACACUGGAGCUUACAGGGAAUCUUCUUUUUUUGUAAAGAUAAACAUAUUUCUUUAGCAUGAUCCAAGUAUGUAAAAACUUUCAAGUAACACACUGUCAACAAGAAUCUAUAUUUGAAGAUAACAGAAAGUAAGGACGAUAACUGUGUUCCAGUACCUCUAUGCAUGAAAAGUGCACGUGUAAUAUAAAUCGGCUAAUUUAAAUAUCAUUUAUGUAAAAACAUAUUUCAUUGGUAUAAAAUAAUUCAGAUACGAUAUUUUAAGCUUGCUUUUGUAAUUUGGAGAAUUCUGUGAAACUGCAUCAAAACUACAUUAGUUUUUGAUAUGAUAUUACUACCGCUCUCCUGAUUUGUUUCGUGAUAAUGUGUUCGCCUCGCCUCAAGUCGUUGGUUUCAAAUCCCAACCGGGUAAACAAAAACGUUUACAUUUGUAUUUGCUGUUUCAACGUUAAACUAGUGAAAUUUAAGAAUUAGUGCAUAGACUUGUCUGAAAUGAUUUCGGGAAAGCUGACGUUUCUCCCUAAUAACCUUUGAAAUAACGCGUUACAAACCGGUUCAGUGUGAAGGUCUAGUACAAGCAAUAUUAAUACUCAUAGAACACCUACAUGUUGUCGUCCUGAAUAUUCUUUUAAUUUGCCGCUGAAUUUCAUUGAUUGCCAAUCCUUUAUUAUACCGUUAUACUAUACAGUGAUGUGUUUUUCUUCUACUGGUUUAUAUUACAUCUUCAUAAGUUUCCACCUAUCAAAAUUAAGAAAGGGCAUGUGAUAUUUUACAACAUUUUCUGCUGUUGGAAUAUUGUUAACGGUAUUUAAUAUUAAAUCGAAUGUGUCUAUUGGGAUAACUUUAAUAGUAAAUAUUAGUAACGAUGCAGUGUGUGCGGAUCAUAUCAAAUAAAAUCGAGUAUGCGGUUAGAAUUUUGCGUAUCUUUAUUCAUCAAAAUUACAUUUGACAGUAUAUCGUAUACAGCGAUCUCUACAAUAAAAUACAAAUACGCAUUAACAUACACCGUAAGUAAAAGUACAAAUCAAAACACUAAUAAGAACAUAUUACUCAACAAAAAAUAGGACUCAUUUUCUUUCACGCUUCAUACAAAACUUGUUGAAUUAAAAAUUUAAUUGAAAUAAAUUACAAUUUACAAGUUCUUUACAUUUUUUAAUAUUUUUUCCUUAAGUAAAUAUUGUUCUUGAAAAGUAUAUAAAUAUCUUAUCGAUUAUAAUCUCUAUAUACAACAGGCGCGUAGCAACCCGUACGCAAAAACGCAGCUGCGUACAAAUCGAAAAUUUCACAAAAAUAAAAAUAUGGUAAAUCUAGUAAGAACAAAAUUAAAGUAAUGAAGUUAAUAAAUCUAGUUAGUACAAAAUUAAAGUAAUGAAGUUAAUAAAAAAAAUAUACAAAUAUGUUAUAGAUCACUUUGUAGCUAUAUUCCGUUCCGAAAACUAGUCUUCCCUUUUCAUUUACGAAACCAGCAUAGUAAUUCUGUUGCUGAUGCAAACAAUUUAAAAUGGCUGAGUCCUCCGGGUGUCAAAACACAAUUGUUACGUCUUCUAUGCCUCCUUACCGUGACAUCUUUUCUGAAGAUUCCAAAAUAACUGAUGAAAUAAAAUAUGACAUUCUUAAGAGACCAUGGACAUCAAUUCAUUUUUAUGAAUUUCCUGUGAAGUAUGUAUAAGUCUUAAACAGUCUAGUCCAACUUAAGUUUAACGGGGGUGGUAAAGGGUAAUUUUCGUGCAACUGUAUUCACCUUUUUUUCAUUUGACGUUCAACGUGUUUUCACUUUUUUAAAUUUUAGUGCAAGACGGGUGCCUCUUUCGUUCAACAAGUUACAUGUUCCCAAAUUUAAAUAAAAGUACGUGUUUUUCAUGCUUUCAGUUUUAAAGUUUUUGUUUUCCGUAAUCCUAACUUGAUUUGAAUAAAAAAAACUUUUUUUCGCGAAGUACUGAUCCACCAUCCCAACCCCACCCUUUACUACCAUUUUUAACCUUUACUAACAAGCAAAUUUUUAGAAUUUUAUCUUAAAUUUUUUUUAAUAUUGUUGAAGAAAAAAAAAUGAUUUGAUUUUGUUAUGCCCUACCUACGAUAAUAGAUGGGCUUUGUGCUUUCUGGUCUGUGCAUCCGUCUGUCUGUUGGUCCGUCCGUUGUAUGCCGGUCUCGAUGGCAACGGCAGAACGGUCUUUUAGUACCAUGAGAAGAGUGAAGACCUACUAAUGAGAAAUACAAUGAAAACGAAUCGUUUAUCUGGACUCGGUCUUUUGAACAUAUACCGAGAUUUUUUUUUAAAGCAGACACGGUUUUUGACAUUUUUAGUAGAAAAAAAGAAAGGAAAUUGGUUUUUCAGAAUUAACUUUGAGAGAAAAAAAAAAGCUGAAAAACACUGCUUGUUCACUCAUAAAAUAAAACAUAAAGUUAUUAUGUGAUUCGAAUUUUUAUUUGUGUAUUUUCUCAAUAAAAAAAAUACCAUUUAAGUUGCACAGUGUUGGCUUAGAAAUUAAGUUGUUUUCUAAUGUAAAGCGGUUCAGCAUGAUUAGGUAACAAAUAAAAUAUACCUAAUAUAAGCCAUUUCAACCCACUCUCACAUAAGGGAAAAAAAACAAAUUGUUAAGCCAACAGUACGGGUUUCUUUGUUUUCUCUGAUUAUUUAUUCCAAGUUGACUUGUUUCUCUAAAAGUAAGAUUUCUGUGAGGUCAUUUUAAGUCCUCGGAAAUUGCGAGAAUGCAGGAUUUUGCACCAUUUACCCCAGAGCUUCUGGCGGCCCCCAGAUCCCCUGCCGUAUAACUUCCUUCUCCGGCACUGCGUACACAUCAAAAUUGCCUAGCUAUGCCCCUGUACAACAUACAUAUGUGUCUCCGAAUGAUAAAUACAAUUAAUGAUAAAUAACUUGCAAUUAAUAAAAACUCUAAACAACGUUACGUACGUCAUAUGCGAAACGUCUUAAAACUCAAAAAACGGGAAACAUUACAAUUUAUAUGAGCGCAAGGCUACAUAUGCGCAAAUACUCAACAAUAGUAUCUACAAGUACUACAAAUAAUAUAAAUCAAUCUAGUUAUAAUAAAUGGAAGAAACCCAACAAUUUUGAAUAACAUUUCAGACUUAACAGACGGUUAGAACUUUAUGUUCUGUAAACGCAUCUUUCUAUAACAUAAAUCUAUAUUGACUCUUGAUAUUUGGAUUCAUAUGUGUCUUAAGGUUGUUGUCGCAUUCAUGUUUUCAUUUACCUCCUUUUAUUCAAAACCAAAGGAUUUACUUGGGUAUAGAAAUAUUGACAUCUCUGGACCUCUCCCGUCCGACAGUAUAUCCUUGCUAAAGGAGUGUGUCCGUUUUGACUUCGAAUGUACAUAUACGUAACUUCGUCCUGUCGAAAAGGAAUGUCGUUUAUCAGAUAACUUGUGUAUUGGGAGUUUCACGCUAUGUAUACAUUGAGAAACGAUUUGUAAAAAAACUUUUCGGAUAAUAAUGAUCUAAGCACAAGUACAAUGUAACAUUAUUGCAAUCUCUGAACAACAACAAAGUUCAAUUAAUUUUUUCAAUAAUUCGCAUAGCGGAUUUUAACGCAUUUUUGCGACUUUUGAUAGGACAAUCGUAGAUGCAAAAUGAACAAAACUGAUUAUUAAGAUUAUAUCUAAACAAAGGAAUGAAACGGCUAAAAUCAGUUGAAUCCGUAUAUAAACAUUUGUGGGUCCAUUUUAACUUUUAUUACAACUACAUUUGUAUUAUACCAGAUAAAAUAAAACUGCAAAAUUUGUCACCUAAAGGAGACUGCCGUCGUUGUACGCUUCGAUGUAUGAGCUACUGCCACUCAUUGAAAAUUAUUUUGUUCUGUUCUACUCCUCUUCUCAUAGCUAGAAAGGAUAAAAUGUAACCCUAGAUGUGGACUAAUGCUAAAUAAAUCAAAUGAUCAUUAUCUACAUGUAAAUAGGAUUGUCUUCACACGAAUUAAACACUAAACUGAAAUCACGAUACGGCUAUAUGCUGUCCAAAUGAGCUUAUAAAACUGACUCAGAUAUGCACUGCCGAACAAGGCUACUUGCGGGCAAUGGAAUAACUUUAUAAUUUUAUGUAAUACACCAUUUUUUCAAUUCUUUCAAAUACACAUCAUACUUUAUAUUUGUAGAAAUUGCUUUACUGUUCCUCAUAAUAUCGAAAAUGCUUAUUUUUACAUUCGGUAAACUCACUGUGUCUUUACCACACCGGCAAAAAUUGUUCGGACUCGAUGGUAUCUAACAUCCGGCACAAUGACGGAACAUCAAUAGACAGAAGAAAGAUAGGUUUCUCCUUAUUUUCUUGGUUUUUUUUUAUGAUAUCGAAGAAUAUACAUAUAUAUAUUAUACAACUUUUUUCUAUUGUGAGAUGUAAUAUUUUCUACAAUCAUUCUAAUUUUACGGAGAAAUAAGUAAAAAUGCAUGUCAAAAUGACGAAUUGAGUGAACCUUGCCUCGAAAUUGUUUAAUUUCUCGUUAAAUUGUUCACAUUGUACGGAAAGAAAGGUACGAGAAGAUAGAUACUGACACGGAGAUUACAAAACUUGUCAUUAUGAACAUCUCAAUACUUGUAUUUCUGAGUAUGGAUUGAAAGAAAUGGGUCAUGUCAAAAUGGAACUUGCCGGUUUUGUCAAUGUUUACCACUCGGUUUUGUCAUUGAUUUCACAAUGUAUAACCCGGUUUGGUCAAAUAAAAAAAAUCAUAAUCGCAUUACAUUAUUAUUGGUAAUUUAACUUCAGCGUUAAAAAGGAGUUUUGUGGGUCGUUGGAAAACAAGUUCUUUCACAGGACAACGGCUUAUUAUUUUUAAAAAUUAUAUGAUCAGUCUCAGAUUCAAAUAAAUAGUAAGCAAACACUUGAAUUCCUACUCUCAUAGUACAUUUUUUUAGAACACAAAUAAUUUUAAUUUUACUUUGCUUUCAAUUUUUUUUAACAGAAGAAUAGAUAGAAAUGAAAGUUAUAGAGCAAAUUGAGAUUAAAGCUAUCGAAUAUGCGUUUUUUUUAUGAAUUAUGGAAAAUAUGUUGACUUGAAAUUAGAGUCCAUGGUCUUAAAAAUCGAAACACACACAAUAGGAUGGUUACCUUUAUAAGUAAUAUGAUCAUUCCAUGUAUGUAUUUUUUUCUAUGAUCGUUAAACAGUUAAAAAUAAAUCUUUUAAGGACAAACGUUGAUAAUAAGCAAAUGUAUAUGCAUGCAUAAUUGACAUAGAAAAUGAAUGUUUAUAGGAAAAAAAGGAUUACAACUACAAUGCAUUAAAAAUAAAAAUUAUUUAUCACUAAUUUUAACUAUACUUCUAUGUAUAAAUUUGUAUAAUAGUCUCAGGUCAUCGACAAUAUUCAAUAAUUUUAUUUUGUUAACCCAUGGAAGUAAUAUUUAAAUAUUACUUCCAUGGUUAACCUUACUAUAAAAAAACGGGUCUGUACAGUCGCCAUUGUGCUUUGAUGAUCGUACACUUACGUUGGUCAACAUAUUUUGACAACAUAUGCGGACAGACGGAUUCAGUUUAUUUCAAAGUGGACGUAAUUCGAACAGCUUUUACAUACCGCCGAGUGUAGCCAGUCGAACAAUAUUUUCACUAUGUUUUGCUUUAAACAAUCGUUAAAUACAUGAAUCAAUAUAGUUUUGGCAAUCAAAGAUGGGGUCGGGGCGUGCAACCUAUACUCCUUCUAGAUUCGCCACUUAUUUUAUAAAGUGUAUACCGAAUUAAAAUAUUGUAAGAAAUAUAAGAAAACAGGGACACCCGCAAAAUCGGAUUAUGUGAGUUUGAUUAUGUUUAUUAUAAACAUUCUCAUUGAUAUCUUUAAACAAGCGAGAUUAAGUGAUUCGAAUUCAAAGUGAUUUAAACUAUUUGUAUAAAGCUACAUAUGUCAAAAGAAGGUUUGACUGCAACAUAUACAAGUAUGGAACAGAGCUCUAACAUUUUUUAAUGUAUUUGCCAUAGGUCAAUUGCCCAUGCCCUUGACCUCAUUUCCAUAUCAUUUUCCUUUGGCCACAUGACGAUUCAUGUGACCGUGAACUUAUUUCCUUGAUUAAUGUGUUGUUGGUUUUAAUAAUUAGAAUGUGAUCAUGUCCGUCUGGCAGGACUCAUUAGACCUCGAUUUAAAUGGUUCCAUAAACAAUUUAAGUUUUUAAGUUAAGUUUCUGUGACCAUUUCUUUUUUUUAUCUUACAGACCUUCAAAAGAAAUUGAAUUGCGAUCAUUUAAGCAUUUGUGACAUGUCAGUGCCUAUAACAUGUCUUAUUUUUUUUAUUUUUUUUUUAAAACCGCCAAUGAAUUUAGUUGCUAUGUCCGAUCAAGUUAUCUCAUUCGUGAAAUUUGAAAUUUUCAGUUGUUACACAAUUUCUUUUAAAUUCAAGAACGGUGCAAUUUUGUUUGGAAUUCUUGGUUGUUUUUAGCUCACUUGACCCAACAGGAAAAUACAUUUUUUUACAUAAAUUUUCACAUCUAAAAUUACUAGGAUGCAUUUAACAAACCUUAUCUAAAAUCAUAUGCCGUUUUUAAUUAUAAUUAGGGUAUCUAGUCUUAAAAAGUUUUCUGAGACCUCGCUUGUCAACCAAGAUGGCCGUCAUGGCUAAAAAAUAAACAUAGGGGACAUGCAAGUGCAUGAUGUCAAUUAUUUAAAAACAGCCGUAGACAUAGAAAAUUCGAAAGGGCCAGAUGAUAAUCUUCGAAAUAUCGUCCAUUUACAUCAAAAUUCUCAUAUAACUUCUUAAAGGAGUAAUUGCAUUGCCCUUAACUGACGAAUUUGAAGUUCUUUUUAUCAAUGUCUAUAUAUUAUUUUAAAAAAUAUAGUAGUAAUCUGGCUAAAAUGAUAUAGGAAGGAAGACAAGAUACACAAAUAAGUCGACUUGGCCGAUAUCUUAUAAAACUUAUUGACCUUUAAUUGAGAGUUUUUUUUUCAUUUCUUUGCGUUUUUACACGCCCGCUACAAUUAAUUUUGACAGGACGUUUUAAUGUAUACAUCCGUCCGUUCGUCUGCCCUUCCUUCCAUCCGUCAAAUCCUCCACCUUUAAGUCGUUCUGUCCGUCCUUCCGUCUACCAUGGCCUUCUGUCCAGCGUAUAAAUAUGUCGCACCGUAACUUGAGAACAGAUUAUCUAAUUUUCAUGAAACUUAACAAAGUUAUGUCUCAUAAUGGUCAAACGAUCUGUAAACCAUUUAGUAAAAAUCAAAUUAAAUUUUUGGGAGUUACAGGACAUUGUAGGUAAAACAGGAAUGUGUUUUUAACAUGUCGCACCAUAUCUCAAAAACGAUUUAUCAUUAUUGCAUCAAACUUACACUUCUUAGUUAUAUAAUCUUAACUUCUGCAUACUUUUUGGUGAUGUCUUAAAUUUUGUGUAAGCGUUAUUUAGUUUUUUUUGUAAAAAAUAAAAGGGGGGUUACAUAUUGCGAUGUAUCUCAAAACAUAUAUAAAAAAAUAUCAUAAUAUUAUAAAAUAAUUUGAUAUCAGUGUUUGCUAUUGAGUAUUUAUAUUCCAUUUGAAAUUAGUUUGAAGAUAGGUGAAAUAAGGGAUACGCCUUCCAUUAGAAGAAGAAAAUGUGUAUUACUAUAAUUACCUAUGUCCAAAAGUGCCCGUUUAAAAUAAAUUUAAACACGCCAAGUUUACUUUACAAUAAAUAUAUAUUCAAAUUCUAUCGAAAGACAAUGUUCAGAUCCGUGUUAACGUUUCUUUUCAUAAAUUGUUGGUUUUAAAUUUUUUUUUAAACCAGGUGAUAUAUAUAGACGAAACCGCGUGAUUGUGUAGAAAACAAUAUGGACAAAACCGGUGUAUUAUAAUUUGACAUGACCCAUUUCUUUCGUUCCAUACUCAGAAAUACAAGUAGAUGUUCAUAAUGACAAGUUUUGCAAUCUCCAUGUCAGUAUCUUUCUCCCCGUACCUUUCUUUCAAUACAAUGUGAACAAUUUUAACGAAAAUUAAACAAUCGCGGCAAGGUCACUAAUUCUUCAUUUUGACAUGCAUUUUUACUAUUUCUCCGUUAAUAUAGAAAGUUGUAGAAAAUAUUGAUCUCACAAUAAAACCUAGUUGUAUAGGUAUAUAUUAUUCGAUAUCAUAAAAAAAAAAAGAAAAUAAGGAGAAAUCUAUCUUUCUUCUGUCUAUUGAUGUUCCGUCAUUGUGCCAGAUGUUAGAUACCAUCGAGUCCGAACAAAUUUUGCCGGUUUGGUUUUGACACAGUGAAACUGUUGAUUUGAAUUCGCAAACCGAGAAAUAUCCCUCCAUGUUGCACUGUCCUGUAAUAAUGAAACAUAAAUAAAACUGAGCAUAACUUAGCUAAAUGAUAAAUAUAUGAAUCCCUAUAACAUAAAAAUCAGGUAAAGUGCAUUUUUGUCAAUAACUGCACAAAGUGCAUAUUUAAUUUUUAAACGCGCAAGGUACAUUUUUAUACUUUAACCGCACAAGGUGUAUUUUUUUUACUUAAACUUCAUAAGGUACAUUUUUUAUACUUAAACCGCACAAGGUGCAUUUUUGUACUUGAACCGCACAAGGUGCUUCUCAAUUAUAAAUAGCAUAAGGUACAUUUGUUUGUACUUAAACUGCACAAGAUGCUUUUCAAUUAUAAACUACACAAGAUUCAUUUUUUGUACUUAAACUUCACAUGGUGUUUCUCAAUUCUAAACUGCACAAUGUGCUUCUCUAUUAUGACUGCACCAGGUGCAUCUUCAUUCUUUAAAUCUAUACUUUGAACUAAUAAUGUAUACUUAUGAAGGGGUGUUGUACAUUCCGUAGUAGUAACGUAUUGCGAUUUCACCUUGUAGUAAUAAAUUUACACCCGAUAGUAAAAAUGUGCAUUGAACCGUACAAAAGAAUGUGACCUCCUAAGACGAACAAUCAAGUUUAAAAACAAGGACGUAACUGGUGAAUGGGGAUUGCGCGAAAAUACUAUCUUUGUCUGAACCAUAUAAAAAGAAAUGUUUAGAACAAUAAAAUUCAACAAAAUCUGUAAUAAAAUUGUAAAAUUUAUUUUCUCUGUUGUUCUUGUGACAAAAUUGACUUUUCAAAAUUUAGUAAAAACCCAGAUUUCAAUAAAGUACGAAAUGUAUGUAAACCAUAUUUGGGCAUGCGUAAACACCUGUCCUUGUUGUCACAAUCCCAUCCUUCGUCCAAAUACACAAUGAUCGGAAACCUUUGUGAUCUCAAAAUUUAUCUAAUGUACGAAUAUUUUAAUAAAAAUAUGUCAAGCAGAAGAUAGCCCAAAAGUUAACACUGAGAAAAUAAAAUAUCUACUCUUUCCUGUCAAUCAAUUACCCAGAAAAAACAUAGAAAUUUCUGAUAUUAAACAAUUCCUUUUUAAUUCUGCUUUAAAAACAAAUAAAGAAAUGUUGAAUGCUGAUCUGUUUUAUUCAAAUAUACUGAUGGAGGUUUUUGAGUAAAAGGAAUAACUUAACCGCAUUUAUCAGUGCUUAGAACUAAUUCAGAAGGCUUUUUAAACUAUCUUCCCAAAUUGUACAUGAUCUUUAAAUAGAAUUUUUACAGGCUUAAGUUCAUCAGUGUUUUCAUAACUAUCAAUUUUCUAUAUAAUUCUCAACUUGUUCAUUAAGACAGUGAUAGAGCACAUGUUAUUGUUGCUGGUACUGACUUGGUACUGCUGAUUGUACGUCCUUUGUAGGAUCAGAAACGGGCAGUAUGUCCUAGCCUUUGACAGUAAAGGCAUAGUCCUUCGUUUUACUGCUGUUGAAAGUUGUUUAGCUGACUUUAACUGUCAUUUCUCGAUCCAGAUCUGAAGCCACAAAAAAAGUCUCGAGAAUUAAACCCUCCUUUGCCACCACCCCUGCUGUAAGGCUUGCUGACUGUACGCUUACGUUUCUUCAGCAUCUUCAACACUGUAAGCAAGAGGAUCAUCCAGAUAAUCGUGAUUGAACUGAAUCUUAAUCCCUUCUUGUCUAUAGUCAAAUGAUGGAGGUUGGGAAGCAAUAACAUAAUUUAACAGUUUGUUGUGACAACACUCUUAGUGUCCGCCUCUAGCACGGAUGAACUUGUUGGUAACUUUCGAUAUAACAUUUUCUCCACUGGGCGUGAAAAAAAUUAAUUGAUUUCUGUUUGAUAUAAAUGUUAAUGUUUAAUUAUUUUAUUUAUUAAAGUAAUUUUGGUAUAUUUUUUUUUUUCAGCAAAAAAAAAUAUGUACUUGAUUCUUAAUGAUGAUGAGCUGGGUUUUUUUUAUUUGUUUGAUAUCAUAAAAAAAUAUAUAUCUUUAUCAUGUUUAUUUUGAUUAGCUUGAGAGAAAAUAAAGUAAAACGAAGGAUGUGCAUCCUUGUGCAGGUAUAAAAUGUAGAAAAGCGCUUUGGACAAGUUGAAUUUAUCAAUUGUUAUUUCCAUACUGCCGUUGGAUAAGAAACACUGAAUUUAUUUACGUUACCAUAUUGACGAUAAUAACACAGCUGAUACGUCAAGGUGACAUUAACAAUACGACACAACUACACAAAGUAAAAUUGAUAAUUUGUUGUCCGCAGCUGUCGUUUUUUCAAAUAUUUGAAGUAAUAAAACGUAUUAAUUGCUUAGUGAAAUCAAACAUGAUUUAUACCAAACAUUUAAGCUAACGGAAUAUGCAUUUGAUGUUUGCGAUGAACAUUUCCCUGAAGUUGUUACAUUUUUCAAAUUGGAUUAUCUCUCUUUUACCAGAGAAAGUACUUUGUUCUGUCUCCUAUGUCCAAUGCUGAAGUGUGGAGUCGCACAAGAAAAUGAACAUAUAUAAUACGCUUCUACAUUGUCAUUUCGGGGCCUUUUAUAGCUGACUAUGCGGUAUGUCAUUUGCUCAUUGUUGAAGGCCUUACGGUGACCUAUAGUUGUUAAUAAAAUUGAGAAAGGAAAUGGUGAAUAUGUCAAAGCGACAAUGUCUGUGUCAUUUUUGGUCUCUUGUGGAUAGUUGUCUCAUGAAUUGGCAAUCAUAUCCCAUCUUCUUUUUUAUAUUUUUUUAUACCAUAUUCAAAUUUUGUCUGCAAUUACAGUAUGUUAAAGAAAGCCUUAGCAACACUUUAGGGAUAUAUUAGCAUGCCAAUAUCUACAACAUCUUUCGAUCAGUCUAGUGGUGGAAUCUUUUCAUUGCAAUAAACAUUGACUUGAUUGAUUGAUGUUUAUUUUACCCCGCCAUAGUGCAAAAAGGCUAAAAUGCAGAGAUAUUAAAACGAAAGUUACUUCAUAAAUUGAUUCCUUUAGUUGAAAUACCAUCAAAUUGAAUGCCUUUAGUAUUAAUUAUUUUUCUUGCGUCGGUAUCUAGAGUUUUAAUAAAGUACACUUCGUAAUACAUUUUUGUUACAGAAUACAUGCUUUAAUGAACAUUAGGAUUAUAAAAAAGAUUACAGAACAUUUUAGAGACGGUUUAGAUAAACAAGAUAGAGUUGACAUUUGAAAAUGACAAACCUUUCCAUACCAGCAUUAGCUGAAACUAAAUAAGUAAAACAUGUAUACCUAAUUCAAAAAUAAAACUUUAAAUUUAUUUGAGAAAUACUGAGGAACUCUCAGGCUGUAUGUCUUACGAUUUCAAACUUUUUUAACAGUAGUUAAUCUAGUUAUCGGAUACAUCUUUGAGUUUUCGACUUACACUACAUGAUUUUACCUUUUAAAAUCAUUGUUCAUUUAUAAGAAAUCAAUCAUUAUAGUCAAAGAGUAAAAAAGGAUGGAAACGUAUUUGAUUUUAAGAAUAAAUUACAAUUCACCUAUAGAUAAUAGAAAGCGGAUUUAUUCAUCUAAAUGAUACUUUAAAAUUCCAAUAAUUAACAGGUUUUCAUAUAUAUCAUAUAAUAGUGUUUUACUUCAUGUACUGCUGUUAUUGUUAAUCUAAAAAUACAAGUAGUGUCAGUAUUAACCAUUCUGACAAUAGCGAUAAAAAUAUAUCUAAUCCAAAGGGUGUCUGAAAGGUGAUUGAAAAUGACCGUCUAGAUCUACCGUUAUCAAACCUCAGUUAUAUUUUCUGAACUCAUAUAAAAAAGCAUCAAUCUCAUAUUCUCAUAUAGUUGAUAAAUGGACAUAGUUUUCCAAACAUGAUCCAAGAAAUGAUGGGUGUAUCCAUCGAAUUUUUUAAACAGUGCAUUUCGUACUUUUUCAAUGUGUUCACGAAAUGCGCUGUUUUAUGAGAAAAUUUUACAGACUUGUUUUAAUAGAGAAUUCAUGCAUACCCAACCGCUUAAGAGUCAUGUGGACUGAUAGCAAUCUGAAAAUAUCUUAAACACCAUAAACCUUUAUGGCAAUACACUGAGUGUCUACAUCUAGCGGAAUGGAGUUUCGGCAAUUGUAAAAUUUGCCAUUUUACCCUUUUAAAUUUUUAAGUUAGCGUUGUCUUUUAACCGACGAGUGUAUUCUAUAUAGAAACGUACUUUGAAAAUUCACUAUGGAAGGUAAGUUUGUUAUUUGUUUGUAAAGGUUUUUAAUUCGUUUAUGAGUUUGAUAUAAAUAUAUAUGUUCAAUAUUUUUAUUGCAUGUAAUUGUUGUAUAUAUUUGGGUUUUUUUUGUAUUUUUGUUCCAGCAAAAAGGAAAUGAUUUUCCUGUUUUUAAAUGACACCGAGUCUUUUUGCAUGAUGCACUGUAUUGGUUUGAUAUUAUAGUAAAUGAUUACUUUUCAUUGUAGUAGGUUCUUCUUAGCGUUAUCUUAAAAUAAAACGAAGUCCUCCGUCCUUAUGGCAGGUAAAUCUAGAAAGGCACUUAGAUUGGCGGAACUUGAUAAAAAGUUUUUUUAGUAUUGGCGUUGAAUAAGAAAUAAUGUAUCUUGUUAGGUAAGCAUGUCGAUACUAGCACUGCUGAUACGUCAACGUGACAGCUACCGUACUACACAACUAACCACAGUAACAUUGAUAUUUUUCGUCUGUAAACUAUUUGAAUGUUACGUCAUUUUUAUAAUUUACUGCGUUGAGGCCUGGACUGAGUCGAGUGUGUCUAUUCGUGUUGUCUUUGCAUUAUGUAUUCUGUUUGUUUUCUGUAAUGGUAAUACUUCAGUUUCAUUAUGUAUAUCUGUUAUAUUCAUUUGUUAAAAUACUGUUUCAAUAGCAUUAAUUGUUCUAAAUAAUAGGAUUUCUUAUCCCAAGCAUAAAAACAUAGACGUAUAUGACACAACCUUUUUCAACUUUUGAUCUUCAGUGCUGUACAACUUUGUACUCUUUUUCACUUUCGAUCUUUUAUAUCUGGGCGUCACUGGUGAGUCUUGUGUGGACGAGGCGCGUUUUUGGCGUAUUGAAUUUUAAAACCUGAGUUUUUUGUUAUCAUUAAUCAUGUGUUUUUUGUCUAUAGUUCUCCUAUUUAUUUGUAUUGUAGUCCUGUAAUAUCAUGUUGUCAUUUCAAUGUAAUAUUUAACAUAGCCGUUAAAGUGCGAGGUUUGGCAUGCCACAAAACCAGGUUCAACCACAUUUUUUCUUUAAAAAUGUCCUGUACCAAGUCAGGAAUUGGCCAUUGUUAUAUUAUUGUUCGUUUCUGUGUGUGUUACAUUUUAACGUUGCGUCGUUGUUUUCUCUUAUUUUUGAGUGUAAUUUCACAUUGCGAUAAGACGUGUCACGGUAUUGUCUAUCCCAAAUUAAUGUAUUUGUUUUGUUUAUUUUGUUAUUCUCGUGGGAUUUUUGUCUGAUGCUUCGUCCGUUUCUGUGUGUGUUACUUUUAGUGUGUGUCGUUGUUCUCCUCUUAUAUUUAAUGCCGUUUCCCUCGGUUUUAGUUUGUUACCCCGAUUUUGUUUUUUGUCCAUGGAUUUCUGAGUUUUGAACAGCGGUAUACUACUGUUGCCUUUAUUUGAAACGCACAAAUAGCUAAGCAGGCUGAUGUAUACAGAAUGAAUAUAGAUAUAAAAAUAAAAAGAUGAAGUUUAACUGUCAAUGAGACAACCUUUUGCAUGAGAUUCUGCUACGUGGAUGGAAGCAACUAUAUGGGUAGGCCUUCAACAAUCAACAACAAUCAAUAUCGCAUAUUAUAUAGGAAAAUCCAGUAACAUCAUUUCCACUUGGAAAAUAUGAUAUUUUUGUUCUGAACGGAAUAAAUGGUAUACAGAAAACUUGUUUCAAGAAGACAAUAUAUUAUAACUGUUACAUUGUUUAACACAAUUUAUAGAGAAAUUUAUUAGAAGAUACAAGUAUGCGUAGACAUGGCUUAACUACUUUGCUUUCGUAAAAUUAUUGUAUACGUAUCCACGGUUUUGAUAUAUAUUUUCUGACCAAUGUAUAUAACCUAGUCAAACCACAAAUAAUUUAUACAAUUGGCGAUUUAUAGCGUGAUAUAUGAUAUGCAAGGUGGUCUUUGGUCAGGCACAGCCGCAAUACGAUCAUCUCUGAUUCAAUGGUACGUUCUUAAAACAACUGAAACUAACCGACCAUGGGUGAUCCAUGACCCAAUGAUAUUAUCACCAAUAAUCGAUUUUUACUGGACAUUUUGUUUCUGAUGUUUACAACAAUAUGGAAGAUCACAACAAAGUUCAAUAAAACGUAUCCCGAAUUUCUAUUAACAAGUUCUUAUUCGGAAAAUUCGUACACCAGUAUUCCGAAUUUGAUUAGUUUAAACAAGCGUUUUACUAUAUUAUCUUCUAACCUAUGCAAUAAAAAGGUACACUGCCGGUUUCUAGACUUUUCAUAAUCAUAUUAGGUAAAGUUAUAGAUUCAAAAACUUUUUUUUUAUGUAAUAACAUAGACAUUCUUUUUUCAAUAUCUAUUAUUAUGCAUAUAUGUAAGCAAUAACAGCAAUAUUUGUUAAAUUUACAUCUAAUUAUUUAGCAGUUCAAGAAGAGUCUCCUGGUUAUCCAAAUCAAGUAGUACCUAGUGGAGCAAGAUAUAAAAAACAUCAUCGCACAGUAGUAUACGAGUUUCGAUCAACUGAACCAUAUGAUCCACGAAACUGUCGAAUACGACUUUCGUUAAUUACAGAUGAAAAUGUGGUAUAGAGGAAUCGUCCAGCUUUAAUGACAUUGUUAUAGGCAUGCCAUUGACAAACAGGUUUUAUUUUAUAUAAUUAACAUCUAAUUAUUGACUGUAUUAUGUUUGAACGGUAGGUUCUUUUUGAAGUUAUUUUGAAGAUAGAUCGUUAAAAAAAAAACACUCAAAAGAUUCCCGAUAGGUAUACGAAUUUAUAUAAGCGCGCUGCUAUUGUUCCCUAUUCCAAUACUAGUAUAUUUAAUUACUUGUUUAUUUCGUAUGUAAUUACUCGUGUAGCUAUAAAUAACGAAUCCUUUGAUAAAAUACAAAAACAAAAUCAAUAAAAACAUGACAAUCGAUAGAGAAAUACAACAAAGUGAAAUCAUACAUGAUUUCUAACAAACAUUUUAGCGAACAGAAAAUCCGUUUGCGAUAUGCGAUGUUCAUUUCCUUCAAGUUGUUAUAUUUUUCGAAUUGGAUUAUCUCCCGUUUACUAGAGAAAAGAAAUAUGUUCUGUCGCCAAUAUUUAAUGUGAAAGUCUUGAAUCGCACAAGAAAUUGAACGUUUAUUAUACGCCUGGAUUGUUUGACUUAAGAUAAUUGCUAAUCUAAUACGGAUAAUACAAAAUGGCAUCCAUGGAAAUCCGGACGGGAUUGUUUUAAGUUUUAUAAUCAAUUUCAUUUCUUUUUAAUCACGUUGUGUCAGUGAAUUUACUUUGUGGGAUAUAUAUCUAACUCUCAGUAAGAAACAUUAAAUUGAUAUAUAUCCCCGUUUUGGUGUAUGAUACGAAUACUGUGUUGUUAUUUUUUGCUAAGAUAUUCAAUAGUUUAAAGUAUUCUGAUGCAAUCGCAUUAUGAAAAACUAGGUUUAUUCAUCCAAUUUCUAAAUCAGGAAAUGCAUGUACCAAGUCAGGAAUAUAAUAGUUGUUUUUCUAUUCGUUUGGUGUGUUUGAGCUUUUUAUUUUGCAAAUUAAUAUAGCACUUUUCAGUUAAAAUUUUCCUUCGGGUUCGUUUUUUUGUUGUUACUUCACUUUUUAUGUCAUUUCUGAAGUCUUAUUGUUAAUUUCCCUAACAUAUAUACCAAACAUUGUGUAUUAGCAACAUGCUUUUCAGUGUUUAGAAGCAAUAUGAUUUAUUGGUCUAUAAAGAUACAGCUUCACAGUAGUAUUCGUAACAAUACAAAGCAUUACAUAAACGGUUCUGGGUGUCUCUUUGCUCUUUAACUUUGUACUUGCUCGGUUUUAUAACUAUUUUGAUCUUAGCGUCACUGGGGAGUCUUGUGUAGGCGAAACGAAAGUCUGACGUAUAACAUAAUAAUACCGAUACCUUCGAUAACUAUUUAGUAUAUUACUUCUCUGUUGUCAAGGGGUAUUACAAUAGCGCAUCAUAUACUUUUUCUGAUGCACAAAUCAAUACGUGUACUAUUCAUAAAGGGAGACAAUUCUGGCAAAGUAGAUAUCUUCCCGACUCGACCAUUAUUAUUAUAUAUGUUUUAACUGUUUAUCGGUCUACUCAAUGUCAUAUCUGUGUGAUUGUAUUAAGUUAAUUUACACACCGGGUAUCCAGAUCAUAAAUCCAUGGAGGACUUCUGAUUCCUUUGUGGUUCCGGCAUACACGGUGUGAUUUAAUUAGAAAUAUACCACACGCUGAUGCAACUUGUCGUAUGAUUUGUUUCAAACUAAAUAGGAUGAAUGUGAAUGUGAGGAUAAAAUAGAGUUAGUUGCAAUAGUUAAGAUUUUAUAAUGAUUUCAAUCACGUAAUAUGUUCCCCUUCCUAUCCCAAAAUACUUGUAUUAGCAUUGGUUAGAUAUAGGAAGAUGUGGUAUGAGUGCCAAUGAGACAACUCUCCAUCCAAGUCUCAAUUUAUAAAAGUAAACCAUUAUAGGUCAAGGUACGGUCUUAAACAUGGAGCCAUGGCUCUCAUCGAAAAGCAACAUAUAAAGGACCCCAAAAAAAUUACAAGUGUCAAACCAUUUCAAACGGGAGAACCAACGGUCUAAUCUAUAAAAAAAAAAACCACGAGAAAUCAGAAACACUUAUGAACUACAUCAACAAACGACAGCUAUACUGAACAACAGAUUCCUGACUCUGGGCAGGUGCAAACAAUUGCAGCGGGAUUCAACAUUUUAAUGGUACCAAACGGUCGCCCUUACCUGAAACAAUAGUGUAUCAUCACAACAUAGAAAGACACAUCAUAAAAUAUCAAUUGGAUUGCCUUCACUCCAUCAUAAGAUUAUACAUGUUAUGAAACAAAGUUAAUUUAUAUAUAUUUUUUAUGUUUAGAAUACAAGUGGAAGAAAAUGAAAGAACCAGUUCACUAGUGAUAUCCAACCGUAACUUUUAGAUUGUGUCAGUUCAGAUUGUAAAAAAUAACAAGUAAAACGAAUGUUAAACGAAUGUGAAAACAGUGAAAAGUGUGUGGAAUCGACCAAAAUUGACAAUCAGAUCUUAU